UGGGUUGGUCCUUCAUGAGAGGCAAGCUUAUCCCACAUAUAUGUUAUCUGUUGUUUGAAUGGAUGCAUCAUUUCUACUGAGGGUAAAUAUCAGAAAGCCCCCUAAAAGGAAAAAGGUAGCUGGCGAUGAAGGACCACUACUAUGGGCAACAGUUCCCAGUGGUUUGGAGGAUCUUAGAUCAAGUUGUCAACCCUGAAGAAUAUGAAUUGGAUUCAGGAAUUGUAACAGAGACUCUCAAAGCUUAAGCAGGAAGAAAAUAAACAUUUUAUAUGUUGCCGAUGUGGCUCUGAGGAAAAAUACUGUGUCUGGUUCUUAGUCACAAGGGGUUGAUUAUCUUAACCAGGUGAUAUUAUCAGGGAUGAAAAUGAUGAUGAAGAUGAUGAUGACGACGACAAGUGACUGCUGUACAAUUCUUAAUAAAGAUCACACAAUAAUCAUUAAA
Pantherophis guttatus is the source of this 442-nucleotide long non-coding RNA. RefSeq lists it as uncharacterized. The record is from RefSeq and is a predicted model, not a curated record. NCBI's taxonomy places the organism in Eukaryota, Metazoa, Chordata, Lepidosauria, Squamata, Colubridae.